UUAACUCGAAUUUGUAUGCAGUUGGCACAGCGCCUCUAGCGGCAAACGUAGGCAAACGUUCCAACUCCAUACGAAUUUGCGUUA
This 84-nucleotide microRNA precursor is filed under the name Bombyx mori (domestic silkworm). RNAcentral describes it as "mir-2807 microRNA precursor family". It matches the Rfam family "mir-2807 microRNA precursor family". The record is from Rfam by way of RNAcentral. Lineage: Eukaryota; Metazoa; Arthropoda; Insecta; Lepidoptera; Bombycidae.